CCUACGGGAGGCAGCAGUGGGGAAUAUUGGGCAAUGGAGGAAACUCUGACCCAGCAACGCCGCGUGAAUGAUGAAGGUCUUCUGAUUGUAAAGUUCUUUUCUAAGGGAAGAAGAAAGUGACGGUUCCUUAGUAAUAGGCCUCGGCUAACUACGUGCCAGCAGCCGCGGGAAUACGUAGGAGGCAAGCGUUAUCCGGAAUGACUGGGCGUAAAGGGUGCGUAGGUGGUUUGACAAGUUGGUAGUGAAACUCCGGGGCACAACCUCGGCACUACUCACAAAACUGUCGGAGUUGAGUGCAGGAGCGGUAGAUGGAAUUCAUAGUGUAGCGGUGGAAGGCGUAGAUAUUAGGAGGAACAGCAGUGGCGAAGGCGGUUUGCUGGACUGUAACUGACACUGAGGCACGAAAGCGUGGGGAGCAAACAGGAUUAGAUACCCUAGUAGUC
RNAcentral lists this ribosomal RNA (443 nucleotides) under uncultured bacterium. RNAcentral's name for it is "partial 16S ribosomal RNA". It matches the Rfam family "Bacterial small subunit ribosomal RNA", at positions 338 to 795 of the family's 1533-position model. The record is from RNAcentral.